UACGGAGGGUGCAAACGUUGCUCGGAAUCAUUGGGCGUAAAGCGCACGUAGGCGGCCCAGCAAGUCGGGUGUGAAAGCCCUCGGCUUAACCGAGGAAGUGCAUUCGAAACUACUGAGCUUGAAUACUGGAGAGGAUCGCGGAAUUCCCGGUGUAGAGGUGAAAUUCGUAGAUAUCGGGAGGAACACCGGUGGCGAAGGCGGGUCUCUGGGCCGAUACUGACGCUGAGGAGCGAAAGCGUGGGGAGCGAACAGG
Molecule: ribosomal RNA, 253 nt
Filed under: uncultured bacterium
Lineage: Bacteria
Description: partial 16S ribosomal RNA
Rfam family: Bacterial small subunit ribosomal RNA
Source: RNAcentral